Petromyzon marinus (sea lamprey) is the source of this 3768-nucleotide non-coding RNA. NCBI's taxonomy places the organism in Eukaryota, Metazoa, Chordata, Hyperoartia, Petromyzontiformes, Petromyzontidae. The record is from RefSeq and is a predicted model, not a curated record.
CGGGUGACGUCAUCGUCGCGCGAUCAUGGCGUACGUGGUCAACGGACGCGUAAUGGAGAGUCGGCAGCAGUCGUUGUGGCGGCUGUCGGCGAUACCAGAACUGUUUUGGAGCGUCGUGAACUUCGUAGGGCUUUUCUUUCAGACAAUGUUCCAACCAGAUUUGACAAGAAGAGGUCGUGGAUACACAUCAAACUACACUCCAUCGCAGGAUGGGAGAGGGCCCCCACCAGGAGGUCCCCAGAGACGGAUGGGCAGGAUAAACCAUGGUAGCGGACCCGGUGCACCACCCAUGGCAGGGGGUGGAUGAGGAAGGUAAACGCCUGUCUCAAAAGGCAGGCGCCGAGGGUGGUGGUGUCCCUGGAUAUAGGCGCUUGUUCACAGAUGUCCUAAUCACCGGCUGUGCACGUGAACUUUGGCGCUGUGGCGGGUCACUCUUCACCCUCUCCCAGGAGUUGCGCUGCAGCUGUGGCUGCCGAGUGUGACGUCCCGUUGGCAAAGCCCACCGAUAGCGUGGAACCAGCGAGACCGAAAAUGCAAACUCCAAUCUCCCAUUGUAACAUCAAGUCUAAACUUUUCUGAUAAUUAUUGUUACAUCCUACUAAAAGCUUGUCCAGUGCUGAGAUGCAAAGCUCUCCAACAAAAUACUUUUCGCUUGAGGAUACCUUGGUUUGUGAGUUGAUGCACUGCUGCAAUAUAUUUUUUGCUACUGAAGAGCAAUGUCUCAUAUUCAUGGGCAACAAUUGUAGCUCUGAUUUUCUUUGCAGCCAUUAAUAUGCUUUAUUUUAAGUAAAGCCUGUGGAGAUCUGGCUUAAGUGGGUUCCAUAAUUUUGGAAAAGGAACCCAAUUUAUAUUUCGAUAUGUUACAUUUAAGAGACAACUAUGAUAUCCAGAAGAAAGGUACUGUUUAUCUAAACUCCACAUUGGUGAAUCCUGUGUUAAUACCACUGCAAAUGUCGAUUUAAAAAUUUGUCAACAUCCUUUCUUUCAAGAGUUUCAUUACAGUUGUUGACUUAGUAAGAGGUUUCCAUGGGCAAAUUCACAACACUUGUAGGCAGCAACGUAGUUGGAGAUAAGAGCACUGCAAUGGGUUGAGUACCUAUGGGCUACCACAGGUGACCCGCAAAGGUGAGCCGGAAUGCAACAAUUUUUACAGCUUGCCAUUCGGGUGCUAGUUCGUUCAUGUUGAUCACAUUAUGUUCACGACACAUGUCCGACCCGCACCCGAAUUGCAAUCCGCUGUGUGGGUCAUCCACGGGUACCCGACCUCUUGCAGGACUCUUGUGGGACGUAAAGCUGUAUGUUAAAUUGGUGGUGCGGUUAUAAGACACUAAAGCAAUGACAUUUACAUCUUGUGGAAGCGCCCUUCACUGGUUAAUGUGCUCCGUGGUUGCUCUUGUAGGCUAUGUGGCAAAUAUGCCAUUGUCAUAAGUAAUUUACAACUUUAGAUGACACUUUAGAAAAUAAAUGUAAGUGUUAUUCUUGAUUUUAGCCAAAAGAGUAAGAUUUGGUGCUGAGGAUUAUUUGGUACCAAAAUGCAUUGUUAAGUGGUCUUGCCUUUUGUGGGGACGAUGGAAAAUUACAAAUAGCUUGUUCAUGCUUAAGGCUCAUGAGGACUGUAACCUCUGUGCAAUAAAACAUUUAUCUUUUUAAAACAAAUUAAAUGUACACGAAAGUUGAAACUGUAAACUUGGGGUUUCAUUCCUUAAGCAAAGACGUUAUUCCUGCAACAAAAUCCCGUGUAAUUUUCACACGUUUUCAAAAGCUAGCCAGGUGCAGUUUCAGCACGGACGGAACGGAGUCGAGGAAUGGCGCCAGAGGGAGUAAUGGGCUCCAUUUGGGGUCAGAUUUUGUUCAUAUCGGUAAUGGACAGGAGCGGGAGUGUGCAAUGAGGGUCACGAACAUGGGUCACACACUCGGCAUGUUGCGGGAAGAGAAAGGAUGGGGGUCUGUGAUGAUGGUGUUCCUCUUGGGGGCUCUGUGUUGGUGCUCUGGCCAUGCCAAUAUCUCGUGGAGGCGUGCACAUGAGAGGUGGGAGUCUGUCAUGGAGGUUGUUAACAUCGUUCCAUCUCUGUAUUAAGACAGGAUAAGUAUGACUGCCCUACAGCCCAUGUACCAGAAGUCCUAGAUACCAGAUUACUAAGACCAAGAAAGGUGGACAGGAGGCCCCGUUGCAGAUCCUACAGGGCUCAUACGAACUAGGCGAUGCCCCUGGGAGCUGUUGUCUGGUCCAGGCUGAACCAGCCCUGUGCUCCUGUAAACAAAUACAUUCUUGAUGUGUUCUUUUUGAUUAUCUUUUUAUAUAUUGACUUAUGGAAGCCAAGAGCCAGUAGGAAUGUUAGAGCAUAGUGAGUCGAGAGAGAUACAGGAGACUGCAGUCAGCCGAGCAAGCCACUCCAAUCCCGGGUAAAAGUAAAAUCGGGCAAACAGGCUUGUAGAUGUGGGCCUACAUUAGUACCACGAGCAUGAUAUAAGGAAGCAAUGCCAAGCAAGCAACUGUCAACCUGUUUCAUUUAGUUAACAAAAUGAUAGUGAUGUCAGCAUUAACACGGCCAAAUGCAUCCUUUUGUUAAAAAGGAAUUUGUUUCCCAUACCCACACUGCCUCUCCGAAGAUGGUGCCCUGAUUUGUGGAGGGAAGGUGGGUUUGUGGCUGCUACAGCACAUAAAUGCAUCCCAUGCACGAUCCUAGCAGAACUAAAUUUAAAAAAAAGUUAAUUGUGUAAUCGAUUCAUAAGGCGCAAGAAGCAGGUGAGAAAAAAAAUCGAUAUUUAAAUUAACAGCGCGAAUUCGCAGCUAAGCGAUUCAUCUUGUAGGGACAUACUUCACGCGUUUCUGCUAUGCCUUCCACAGUUAUGUGGUCAAAAAUGUUUUACAUUAUUCCAAAUAAUUUUCAAUGACAAAGUUUCAAAGUGAAAAUAAAAAUGCUGAUGGCGUCACCGCGUCGUGCCAGCGCCCUGUGUCACGGGCCGGACGUAGCUGCUUGGAACUGCUGGCCACGGAAGCAUUCAAUAAGCCCUGAAGUUACUCCUUAUUAAGUAAUCUUUGUCAGUAGUAAUCUUUUCAAUCCUUAUUAUGAUUUGUUAUGUUAAUAUUAACUUGUUACACUAAUGUGUUUUUUUGUAAAUACAGGGCUAAAGUAAUUGGAAAGAUAAAUUCUUCCCGAAACGCAAUCCCCUCUUGUAACAUGUAUGUCUAUGGGAAAAUAGACUUCAUAUAGCGAGAUUCGAGUUGUGUGCUGUUUUUCAAAAACGCAUGUCGCUCGUUAUGAGAGGGACACCUAUAUAUGAUAUUCGACAACAUUCCAAUGCAGCAUAUUAAUGUUUAAUCGACAUUUAAAUACAGCAUAUGUGGAUAUGUUUGAUGAUUAAACAUGUUUAAAAACUUAGAUUUAAUAUCCUGCGUUAGCAAACGUUAAUCAAUAUUUCAAUGUGCAAUAAACGUUAUAUUUGUAAUUCUUUAAAAUGUUGCAACAUUGACGUCAUAGUGAGGCCUUGGUGAUGUCAUUGGGAUGUCACGUGACAUCAAAAUGACAUCCAAUCGGAUAAAGUUACCCCUGCAAUAGGAAUGUGAAAUUUACAACACUGCAUCAGGGUGUACUGGAUUGUGUUAGUGUACUGUUAAUGGGUGAAUAAGUAUGUUGCUUGGUUUGUGCUGGUCUGUGUUGUUUCUUAGUCUGGUACUGUAAUAUGUUACAUGUUGCUGUUUAUUUUUAAAAAAAUCAUGUUUUCCGAUGCAUACUACAGUCCCAACAAUAAACAUACUGCCCAAAG